This 460-nucleotide ribosomal RNA is filed under the name uncultured bacterium. RNAcentral's name for it is "partial 16S ribosomal RNA". It matches the Rfam family "Bacterial small subunit ribosomal RNA", at positions 338 to 795 of the family's 1533-position model. The record is from RNAcentral.
CCUACGGGCGGCUGCAGUGAGGAAUAUUGGUCAAUGGGCGCAAGCCUGAACCAGCCAAGUCGCGUGAGGGAUGACGGUCCUAUGGAUUGUAAACCUCUUUUGCCGGGGAGCAAGGCCCGCCACGUGUGGCGGGAAGGAGAGUACCCGAAGAAAAAGCAUCGGCUAACUCCGUGCCAGCAGCCGCGGUAAUACGGAGGAUGCGAGCGUUAUCCGGAUUUAUUGGGUUUAAAGGGUGCGUAGGCGGAAGGUUAAGUCAGCGGUCAAAUGUCGGUGCUCAACACCGGCCUGCCGUUGAAACUGGUCGUCUUGAGUGAGCGAGAAGUAUGCGGAAUGCGUGGUGUAGCGGUGAAAUGCAUAGAUAUCACGCAGAACUCCGAUUGCGAAGGCAGCAUACCGGCGCUCAACUGACGCUGAGGCACGAAAGCGUGGGGAUCGAACAGGAUUAGAUACCCUUGUAGUC